UAUUAAAAUUUCCAUUUAUUCGUACGGUCAAAAGCUGGUGUGACUAAUGGAAUAACCAGCUAGUGAUACAUGGCAUGCCACUGUACAUCAUACUUAUAUACAUGGAUCAAAUUUUAAUAGUAGUAAUGGAUGAAAAUUUUAAUA
Non-coding RNA from Gossypium raimondii (Peruvian cotton), 144 nucleotides. NCBI's taxonomy places the organism in Eukaryota, Viridiplantae, Streptophyta, Magnoliopsida, Malvales, Malvaceae. The record is from Rfam.